GCUGACUUCUCUUCCUUCUCCAUGUCAGGUGACUUCUCUGCCUUCUCCGUGUCAGCUGACUUCACUUCCUUCUCCAUGUCAGCUGACUUCUCUGCCUUCUCUGUGUCAGCUGACUUCUCUUCCUUCUCCAUGUCAGCUGACUUCUCUGCCUUCUCCGUGUCAGCUGACUUCUCUUCUUCUCAGUGACAGCUGACUUCUCUUCCUUCUCCGUGUCAGCUGACUUCUCUUCCUUUUCCAUGUCAGCUGACUUCUCUUCUUCUCCGUGUCAGCUGACUUAUCUUCGUUCUUCCUGUCAGCUGAAUUCUCUUCUUCUCCGUGUCAGCUGACUUCUCUUCUUCUCCGUCUCAGCUGACUUCUCUUCCUUCUCCGUGUCAGCUGACUUCUCUGCCUUCUCUGUGUCAGCUGACUUCUCUUCCUUUUCCGUGUCAGCUGACUUGUCUUCCUUCUCCGCGUCAGCUGACGUCUCUUCCUUCUCCCUGUCAGCUGACUUCUCUUCUUCUCCGUGUCAGCUGACUUAUCUUCCUUCUCCCUGUCAGCUGACUUCUCUUCUUCUCCGUGUCAGCUGACUUCUCUUCUUCUCCGUUUCAGCUGACUUCUCUUCUUCUCCGUGUCAGCUGACUUCUCUUCAUUCUCCGUGUCAGCUGACUUCUCUUCCUUUUCCGUGUCAGCUGACUUCUCUUCUUUCAGCUGACUUCUCCUCUUUCUCCAUGUCAACGGACUUAUCCUCCUUCUCCCUGUCAGCUGACUUCUCUUCCUUCUUCCUGUCAGCUGACUUCUCUUCUUUCUCAGUGUCAGCUGACUUCUCUUCCUUCUCCGUGUCAGCUGACUUCUCUUCCUUUUCCAUGUCAGCUGACUUCUCUUCUUCUCCGUGUCAGCUGACUUCUCUUCUUUCUCCAUGUCAGCUGACUUCUCUGCCUUCUCUGUGUCAGCUGACUUCUCUUCCUUCUCCAUGUCAGCUGACUUCUCUGCCUUCUCUGUGUCAGCUGACUUCUCUGCCUUCUCUGUGUCAUCUGACUUCACCUCCUUCUCC
This 1030-nucleotide long non-coding RNA is filed under the name Salmo salar (Atlantic salmon). RNAcentral's name for it is "lncRNA (ENSSSAG00000101577.1)". The record is from RNAcentral. Lineage: Eukaryota; Metazoa; Chordata; Actinopteri; Salmoniformes; Salmonidae.